GAGAACCAAGAGAUCCGUUGUUGAAAGUUUUGACUAUUGUAAUAAUAAAUCAAGUUUGACUGUAAAUAAAAAGUUUGGUUUAGUUAUAACCUCUGGCGGUAGGAUUGCUCCCGCCACCAAAGAAAUUUGUUCAAUAAAAAACACAUGUGGUGCAAUUAAGCAAAUCAGUAAUGAUCCUU
This 179-nucleotide unclassified non-coding RNA is filed under the name uncultured Candida. RNAcentral's name for it is "sequence contains ITS1". The record is from RNAcentral. Lineage: Eukaryota; Fungi; Ascomycota; Saccharomycetes; Saccharomycetales.